UCAGAGUCAUACAUGCCUGCACUUCAAGUACUCAAGAGAAGAAGCAGGAGUUUGAGGGCAGCCUGGGUUAUAUAACAAGAACAAAAACUAAGCCAAACCAACCAAACCAAACCAAAACAGUAGGUCAGCUUAAGAAAAUCAGGAAAUGUAUCAACCCAGAGUCAUGAACUAUUUUCUACACGACACUUCAGCCAAACUCGCACCCAGACUCCAGAGCUUCUGUCACAGCUGUGGUGGCAGCAGUACACUGGCUCCCAUGCCACAGUGGCGUCAUGGCACAGGUCCUUGCUCACUCCCCACAAGCGUGAAGGCCAAGCUUCACUUGAAUGGAUUCAGAGGCCUUGCAAGGUGGCGCACGCCUGUAAUCCCAACACUUGAGGAGGCAGAAGCAAGCAGAUUGUUCAACGCCAGCCUGGUCUACAAGCAAGUCCAGGACAGCCAAGGCUACACAGAGAAACCCUGUCUUGAAGAAGAAAAAAACAAACCUCAAAAAUGAACUUAGAGUAUACUAAAGAGAGAAAGAAGACCAAAUAGCCUGAACUUGUAAGUGGAAGGGAAAGGGCUGUGUAGGUCCAAGUGAGAGGGUUUAGAAUUGACAUUGAAACCACCGGAAAGCUAAUUAAUACAUUAAGCAGGUGCUGAGAUGAUAUAGCCUACAUAUUUACAAGUCCUCAUCCCAUAGUGUUUGGGGUACAGAGAUUCCUUAGCGGCUUCAGGGGGAGAAAACAGUUGUAAUAAAUAAAUAGUUGGAGAAAAUAUGAUGGCCUAAAGUGUUAAAUGGAAGCAGAGAUUGGAAAAGGUAUGAAAAAUUCUUUCAUGUUUGAAAGGCUAUGAGAGAUACAGUCAAGAAGACAGUCAAGGUUCCAGCAUUAACAGGGUAAAGACUAUGCUAGCUGCCAAGAAGAAAGCCUAAGGGAAGAGCAGUUCUGGGCAGAGAUGCUGAGGUUAGUCUUUGAAUCACCAGUGAGCCACCCAGUUCGAUGUCUUAAGUAAUAUGAGUAUGAACACAAAACAAAAAGCUAGCCUACAGUUGCACAGAAAGUUCUCCAAAGUAUAGGUUAAUAAGAGAAGUCACAAGAGAUGAAUCAACCACCCACUGCAUGCUGGGAGUUCUGGAAGGCUUUCAGGCUCAUGUGUUUGCAGUGUUCCAGAGACCCACAUUCUAAUAAAAACAAUGAUGCAUGCUCUGACUCAGCUGACAUGAAAACUACAUUGGAAAUUCCUAUUGCCUAUACUCGGCUUUCUUUUCUGCCAUCUGCAGAUUGAUCUGACUAUUACACAUCAAAUUAAAAAUCCGUCUAAAAAUUAA
Meriones unguiculatus (Mongolian gerbil) is the source of this 1309-nucleotide long non-coding RNA. RefSeq lists it as uncharacterized. NCBI's taxonomy places the organism in Eukaryota, Metazoa, Chordata, Mammalia, Rodentia, Muridae. The transcript is spliced from 2 exons. The record is from RefSeq and is a predicted model, not a curated record.